CACGUAGGCGGAUUGGUCAGUUAGGGGUGAAAUCCCAGAGCUCAACUCUGGAACUGCCUUUAAUACUGCCAGUCUUGAGUCCGAGAGAGGUGAGUGGAACUCCGAGUGUAGAGGUGAAAUUCGUAGAUAUUCGGAAGAACACCAGUGGCGAAGGCGGCUCACUGGCUCGGUACUGACGCUGAGGUGCGAAAGCGUGGGGAGCAAACA
This 207-nucleotide ribosomal RNA is filed under the name uncultured bacterium. Its description in RNAcentral is "partial 16S ribosomal RNA". It matches the Rfam family "Bacterial small subunit ribosomal RNA", at positions 568 to 774 of the family's 1533-position model. The record is from RNAcentral.